RNAcentral lists this ribosomal RNA (521 nucleotides) under uncultured bacterium. RNAcentral describes it as "bacterial SSU rRNA". It matches the Rfam family "Bacterial small subunit ribosomal RNA", at positions 25 to 518 of the family's 1533-position model. The record is from RNAcentral.
CAGGACGAACGCUGGCGGCGUGCCUAAUACAUGCAAGGUCGAACGGUCUUUCUAUGGAAGCUUGCUUCCACUGAGAAGAUAGUGGCGAACGGGUGAGUAACACGUGGGUAACCUGCCCAUAAGAGGGGGAUAACAUCCGGAAACGGGUGCUAAUACCGCAUAGUUUUCUUGAUCGCAUGAUCGGGAAAGGAAAGACGGCCUUUGUGCUGUCGCUUAUGGAUGGACCCGCGGCGUAUUAGUUAGUUGGUGAGGUAACGGCUCACCAAGACGAUGAUACGUAGCCGACCUGAGAGGGUGAUCGGCCACAUUGGGACUGAGACACGGCCCAAACUCCUACGGGAGGCAGCAGUAGGGAAUCUUCCGCAAUGGACGAAAGUCUGACGGAGCAACGCCGCGUGAGUGAAGAAGGUUUUCGGAAUCGUAAAACUCUGUUGUCAGAGAAGAACAAGUUGGAGAGUAACUGCUCCAGCCUUGACGGUAUCUGACCAGAAAGCCACGGCUAACUACGUGCCAGCAGCUGC